This is a non-coding RNA of Bos taurus (domestic cattle), 72 nucleotides long. Lineage: Eukaryota; Metazoa; Chordata; Mammalia; Artiodactyla; Bovidae. The record is from Rfam.
UCCCUGGUGGCUCAGAGGUUAAAGUGUCUGCCUCUAAUGCGGGAGACCUGGGUUCGAUCCCUGGGUAGGGAA